Molecule: ribosomal RNA, 484 nt
Filed under: uncultured bacterium
Lineage: Bacteria
Description: partial 16S ribosomal RNA
Rfam family: Bacterial small subunit ribosomal RNA
Source: RNAcentral
AAUGAACGCUGGCGGCAGGCUUAACACAUGCAAGUCGAGCGGAAGAAGGGAGCUUGCUCCUGGAUUCAGUGGCGGACGGGUGAGUAAUGCCUAGGAAACUGCCCGUGCGCGGGGGAUAACGCCCGGAAACGGGCGCUUAUACCGCGUACGUCGCGAGGGAGAGAGUGGGGGAUCUUCGGAUCUCUCGCUAUCAGAUGAGCCUAGGUCGGAUUAGCUAGUUGGUGGGGUAAUGGCCUACCAAGGCGACGACCCGUAACUGGUCUGAGAGGAUGUUCAGUCACACUGGAGCUGAGACACGGUCCAGAGUCCUACGGGAGGCAGCAGUGCGUAAUGUUGGACAAUGGGCGAAAGCCUGAUCCAGCCGUGCCGCGUGUGUGCAGAAGGUCUUCGGAUUGGAAAGCACUUUUCGUGGGGAGGAAGGGCUGUAAGUUAAUCCCUUGCUGUUGUGACGUUACCUACAGAAUAAGCACCGGCUAACUUCGUG